UACGUAGGGUGCAAGCGUUAAUCGGAAUUACUGGGCGUAAAGCGUGCGCAGGCGGUUAUGUAAGACAGUUGUGAAAUCCCCGGGCUCAACCUGGGAAUUGCAUCUGUGACUGCAUAGCUAGAGUACGGUAGAGGGGAUGGAAUUCCGCGUGUAGCAGUGAAAAUGCGUAGAUAUGCGGGAGGAACACCGAUGGCGAAGGCAAUCCCCCUGGACCUGUACUGACGCUCAUGCA
RNAcentral lists this ribosomal RNA (232 nucleotides) under uncultured bacterium. RNAcentral describes it as "partial 16S ribosomal RNA". It matches the Rfam family "Bacterial small subunit ribosomal RNA", at positions 524 to 753 of the family's 1533-position model. The record is from RNAcentral.